Molecule: ribosomal RNA, 505 nt
Filed under: uncultured bacterium
Lineage: Bacteria
Description: partial 16S ribosomal RNA
Rfam family: Bacterial small subunit ribosomal RNA
Source: RNAcentral
GACGAACGCUGGCGGCGUGCCUAAUACAUGCAAGUAGAACGCACAGUUUAUACCGUAGCUUGCUACACCAUAGACUGUGAGUUGCGAACGGGUGAGUAACGCGUAGGUAACCUGCCUGGUAGCGGGGGAUAACUAUUGGAAACGAUAGCUAAUACCGCAUAAUAUUAAUUAUUGCAUGAUAAUUAAUUGAAAGGUGCAAUUGCGCCACUACCAGAUGGACCUGCGUUGUAUUAGCUAGUAGGUGAGGUAACGGCUCACCUAGGCGACGAUACAUAGCCGACCUGAGAGGGUGAUCGGCCACACUGGGACUGAGACACGGCCCAGACUCCUACGGGAGGCAGCAGUAGGGAAUCUUCGGCAAUGGACGAAAGUCUGACCGAGCAACGCCGCGUGAGUGAAGAAGGUUUUCGGAUCGUAAAGCUCUGUUGUAAGAGAAGAACGGGUGUGAGAGUGGAAAGUUCACACUGUGACGGUAUCUUACCAGAAAGGGACGGCUAACUACGUG